UUUGUAUUCAUUAGGAAAAGGCCUUCAGUGAGCUGAGAUACUGUGUGGAUAAAUCAUGCCUCUCCUGGUUAGUCAGUCUAUCUCUCUGUUGAUUAUCUUCAUAUGUGUCUAUCCAUCUAUUUAUUUAUUUGCUACUUGAUGUAUUUAUUAUUUUUUGUUGGGUUGCUAUAUUAUUUAUUUUUUGACUUGCUUGUCUAUAUAUGUAUGUAUUUAUGUGUGUAUGUAUGUAUAAAUGUUUUCAUCUAUUUUACCAUAUAAUAGUCAAUGGCUUUUAGUGUGCUGAGAAAUACUAUACUGAUAAGCCAUGUCUCUACAUUGUUAGGCUGUUUAUAUAUCUAUAUAUCUUUAUUUAUUUACUUAUUGAAUUCCUGGUCUAUUUAUCUAUUUAAUGGCUUGCUGCAUUAUUUAUCUAUUUAUAUAUUUAUUUGUUGACAUGCUUGCUUAUUUAUUUAUUGAUUGAUUGUUUAAUUAAUUCUUUCAGUUAUAUUACCGUAGGCUAAUAAAUGGCUUGCCAGGUAAUUGGAAAUGGCUAUACUGAUAAACUAUGCUUCUACUCUGUGAUACUGUUUAUCUAAUCUAUGUAUCUAUAUAUCUAUGAUUCUGUGUAUCUAUGUAUCUAUCUAUCCAUCUAUCAAAGUAUUGUCUAUCUACUUAUGUUUUGGCUUCUUGAUCUAUUUAUUUAUUGACUUGGAUUAUUUAUUGUCUUGAUCUAUUUAUUUAUUUAUUGGCCUGUUUGCUUAUUUAUUUAUUUAUUCAUUUUACCUUAGAGUAAUAAAAGGCCUUCAUUAUGCUGAUAAAAUACUACUCUGAUAAUUUAUGCCUCUACACUGUUACAAUGUUUAUCUGUAUGUAUUUAUCUAUCUAUCUAUAUAUAUAUCUAUCCACCCAUCCAUCCGUCCGUCCAUCUACCUGUAUAUUGGAUUCUUGAUUUUAUUUAUUUGCAUGCUGGCUUCUUUAUUCAUUCUACUUUAAAGGCCUUUAAAGUACUGAGAAAUACUAUACUUAGAAGCCAUGCUUCUACUGUUAGAAUGUUUAUCUAUCUAUCGACUAUAUAUUUACUUAAUGGAUUCAUUUUUAUUUUUAUUGGCUUACAGCAAUAUUUACUUAUUUAUUUAAGUAUUUAUUUAUUAGUGUGCUUAAAGAUUGAUUAGUGAUUGGCUGGAUUUUUUAUGUAUAUAUUGGCUUGCUGGGUAAUUUAUUAUUGACUUGCUUGUCUAUUUAUAUAUUUAUGUGGUAUGGAAAUAAUCAUUUAUUUUAUCCUAGAUUAGUAAAAGACCUUCUGUAUGCUGAUAAAUCCUAUACUGAUAAGCCAAGACUCUUAAAGCCAAGACUCUUCUGCAUUACACUGUUUAUAAAUCUAUAUAAUUAUUUAUUUAUUUUAUUUAAUGGCUUCUUGACCUAUACAUUUAUAUAUUGCCUUGCUGCAUGAUCUAUUUAUUUAUUGGCUUACCGGGACACUUAUCUAUCUGUCUGUCUAUCUAUCUAUCUAUCUAUCUAUCUAUCUAUCUAUCUAUCUAUCUAUCUGCAUGCUUGAUUGCUUAUAUAUUUUUUAAUUGGCUGGAUUGUUUAUUUGUAUGCAUUUAUUGUCUUGCUAUAUUAUUUAUUGAUUUGACUUGCUUGUCUAUAUAUGUGUAUAUGAAAGUAUUCAUUUAUUUUAUCCUAGAAUAGUAGAAGACCUUCAAUAUGCUGAGAAAUAUCCUGAUAAGCCAUGCCUCUUCUCUGGUAGACUGUUUAUCUAUGCGUGUACAUUUAUGUAUUUAAUGGCUUCUUGUUCUAUGUAUAUAUUGCCUUGCUGCAUUAUCUAUUUAUUCCUUUAUUUACUUGCCAGACUAUUUAUUUAUUUGCUGUAUUUGUUAUUUAUUCAUUUGGUUAUUUAUUCAUUGGUGUGUUUCAUCAUUUAUUCAUUCAUUGUUUUAUAUUACUGUUGACUAAUAAAAUGCUUUCUAGAUGCUUACCGAAUGCUGUAUGGAUAAGCCAUGCCUCUACUCUGUUAGACUGUUGAUAUCUGUCUCUGUGUCUGUCCAUCUAUUUAUUUAUUUAUUUGCUUACAUAUAUAUAUAUAUAUAUAUAUAUAUAUAUUUACUGUUUGCUGGAUUAUUUGUUUAUUUGUUGGCUUAUUGAUCUAUUUAUUUAUAUAUUGCCUUGGUGCAUUAUCUAUUUAUUUAUUGAUUGACAGAUAGAUAGAUUGAUUGAUUGGCUCUCUAAUGCUUGCUUACUUAUUUGCUCUCCAGAAUAUCUGCCUACCUAUCUAUCUAUCUAUCUAUCUAUCUAUCUAUCUAUCUAUCUUUCUAUCGGCUUCUUAUUUAUUUAUUUAGUGGCUUGCUUAUUUAUUUAUUUUACCUUACCAUGAUAAAAGGGCUUCCUUCAUUGUACUGAGAAAAUUCUAUACUGAUAAUCUAUGCCUCUACUCUAUUACAAUGUUUAUCUAUCUGUCUGUCUGUACAUCUAUCUAUCUAACUAUCCAUCCAUCCAUCCAUCUAUUGGCUUCUUGAUGUAUUUAUUUAUUGGCGUGCUGGCUUAUUCAUUCAUUAUACUUUGAAGUAAUAAAAGGCCUUCAAAAUGCUGAGAAAUAUUAUACUGAGAAGCCAUGCCUCUAUUCUGUUAGAAUGUUUAUCUAUCUAUCUAUCUAUCUAUCUAUCUAUCUAUCUAUCUAUCUAUCUAUCUAUUUAUUAAAUUGUUUCUUUAUUUUAUUUUUGGUUUUUUGAGACAGGGUUUCUCUGUGUAGCUUUGGGGCCUUUCCUGGAACUUACUCUGUAGGCAAGACUGUCCUUGAACUCACAGAUCCACCUUCUUCUGCUCCCAAGUGCUGCAUUAAAGGCAUCUGCCACCACCACUGGGCAGUUUCUUUAUUUUUCUAUUGACUUGCUGCAUUAUUUCUUUAUUUAAGAUUGAUUGGCUGGAUUUAUUUAUGUAUAUAUUGGCUUGCUGUGUUAUUUAUUUAUUUACAGACUUAAAGAUUGAUUGGCUGGAUUUAUUUAUGUAUACAUUGGCUUGCUGGGUUAUUUAUUUAUUUAUUUAUUUAUUUAUUUAUUUAUUGACUUGCUUGUCUUUAUAUAUUUGUGUGUGUAUGGAAGUAUUCAUUUAUUUUGCCCUAGAUUAGUGAAAAACCAUUAGUAUGCUGAGAAAUACCAAACUGAUGAGCCAGACCUCUUCUGUGGUAGACUGUAUAUAAAUCUAUAUAACUAUUAAUUUAAUGGCUUCAUGAUCUAUUUAUUUAUAUAUUUUCUUGCUGCAUUAUCUAUUUAUCUAUUGGCAUACCGUGUCAUUUAUUUAUUUAUUGGUGUGCAUGCUUGCUUAUAUACUUAUUUUUUUAUUGGCUAAAUUGUUUAUUCAUAUACUUAUUGUCUUUCUGUAUUAUUUAUUGAUUCAUUGAUUAACUUGCUUAUCUAUUUAUAUAUUUGUGUAAUGUACGUGUGAAAGCAUUCAUUUAUUUUGUCCUACAGUAGUAAAAGGUCCUCAAUAUGCUGAGAAAUACCAUAGUGAUGUGCCAUGUCUCUUCUCUGUUAGACUGUUUACAUACCUAUAUAUCUAUUUAUUUAUGUAUUUAAUGACUAUUGACCUAUUUAUUUAUAUGUUGCUCUGGUGCAUCAUCUAAAUUUAUUUAUUUAUGGUCACUUAUUUAUUUAUUUACCCGCUGGGAUAUUUGUUUAUAUAUUUAGUUGCUUGUUGUAUUUGUUAUUUAUUCAUUUACUUAUCUAUUCAUAUGUGUGCUUGCUCAUGUAUUCCUUUAUUCAUUCAUUGUUUCAUUUAUAUUACUGUUGACUAAUAAAAGGUCUUCUAGGUGCUUAGCAAAUGCUAUAUGGAUAAGCUAUGCCUCUAGUCUGUUAGACUAUUCAUCUAUCUAUCUACCUACCUACCUAACUACCUAUCCAUCCAUCUAUCCAUCCAUUCAUCCAUCUAUCUAUUGGCUUCUUGAUCUCUUUAUUUAUUGUUUGCUGGAUUAAUUGUUUAUUUAUUGGCUUAUUGAUCUAUUUAUUUAUAUAUUGCCUUGCUUCAUUAUUGAUGCAUCAACUUGCCAGAUUAUUUAAUUAUUUGUUUAUUUAUAUAUUGACUCCCCUAAUACUUACCUAUUUAUUUAUUUGCUCGCCAGAAUACAUACUUACUAACUUCUUGAUUUUUUUUUAAUUUGUUGGAUUGUUGAAUAUUUAUCCAUUACAUAUUUAUUUAUUUACUGGCUGGCUGGAAUACUUAUUUAUUUCCACUCUGGGAUUUUUAUUUUAUUUAUUUAUUGUCUCACUGGAUUAUUUAUUUAUUUAUUUAUUGGCUCCUCAUAUUUAUCUAUAUAUUUAUUGUAUUUCUAGAUUAUUUAUUUAUUUACUUAUGUAUUUGUUGGCUCGCCGUAAUACUUACAGAUUUAUUCAUUACCCUGAAUAUUUAUUUAUUUGUUUCUUUCUUUCUUCAUUGACUCGUGGAUUAUUUAUAUAUUAAUCUAUUGGUUCACCAUAUCAUUUAUUUAUUUAUUCAUGUUCAUAGGAUUAUUUAUUUACUUAUUUAUUGCCUUGCCGUAAUGCUUAUUUAUUUAUUUAUUUACCUGCCGUAAUGCUUGUAUCAGUUCCCAGCCAAGGAAGUAACAACAGUUAGAGGCACAAAGCUACAUGCUGGUAUAUGGGUCAUAUCUGGAGAAUUUGUUUGACAAUGUACCAUCUUUGGUACUCCACAUUUAAAUACACUCCCCCCAAAACAUUGUCAAAACAAAACUUCAAUUGUCACCUCAAAGAGUAAAGAAUUUAUGUAAGAGAAGAAUUAGAAGGGUCAUAGCUUAGGGAAACACAGAUUCAAGUUGCCUCAUAUCAUUGUUUUUGUGUAGGACCAGUUGUGUAUAGCUUACAUCAAAACAAGGUCAUAAAUUGGGAAAAUCAGGGAGGGAAGUUAUAACAAAGUGGGAAAAUCUAAAUUCUAAGAAUCAGGUUCUAUUUGAUGACAUUCUUAGGUUUUGAAGUAUUGAAAGCUAGGGUCUUAUUAAGAAUGCAUUUUAAAAGUUUUGAUAGUCAUUGGGAUGUUAUGUUAGAAUUAGAUGUGGUCAAUGGGUCACUUUCAAAGUGGCAAAAAAUAGCACAAAAUAGAGUCAUUUGUCAUUUGCUAUUAUAGAAUCAAUAGGUGAGCUGCCAUUUUUGUACCUUCUGGAGACUUCAGUUAACAAUUGAAAUUGCAUGACAAAAACCUUGGUAAAAACAAAGGGUUUUUCAUAAUCUGUGGUGACAGAUAUAAACUUUGAAUGAUUUAUGUGUGGAAACUGAUAAUUAUUUACUAUAUUUAGUUUUAUGAAACCCUGGAUCUCAUUCUUACUCUGCUGCUGGUAUGAUGUUUGCCUAUGCAUUAAUUGUUAGUUUGCACAUUUAUUCAAUUAUAUUUUUAUCCUGGGGAUUAAACUCUAGGGCCUUGAGUACUGUUUCUUGUGUAGUGUUAAAAUGGACAGGACAAGCAUCUGUGUGGAUUUUGUUUGCUUGUUUGUGUUUUGGCUUGUUUUUAUUUUACUUGAUUUUUGAGUUUUGAAACAUUAUCUUAUUAUAUAACUCAGCCAAACUGGCUUCCAGGUCACAGUAUUCCUGCUUCAGUAUCCUAAGUAUGGGACUACAGCCUUGCAUUAAUCCUAUUCAUUUGUUUUUUUAUUUAUUUGUUUAUUUAUUUAUUUAUUUAUUUAUUUAUUGUGUGUGUAUGUGUGUACACGUGUGCGCUUGUGUGCGUGUGCUUGUGUGCAUGUGUGCAACAUUGCACAUGGGCUCCAGUGCUUUCUCUAUCCAUGGUGUUCUUGAGGUGAUCUGAGAUCAACUUUCAGGACUCAGUUCUUUUUUCAAUUCAUUGUCUGACAAGCUGUCUCUACUUGAGUUAGUAUAUCAAGCUUAUCACUGAUUCUCAUGCUAGCAUCUUCUCUUGUGGUAAGAUUACUGUGUAUUUUUUAAAACUUUAUUUAUUUAAUUUAUUUGUGUGUGUGUGUUUGUGUGUAUGAGAGAGACAGAUAUACAGAAAGAAUGCAUGAAUGAGCAUUGAUGUUUGAACUCAAGAUGUCCUGUAUAUCUCACUAGGUAACGAUAAACUUAGCCUCCAUACAUUCUACAUUGUUUUUAGUGCUGUUAAUUUAGCCCAGGAUCUUGUUCGUGUGAAGCAAUUGCUCUGUUACUGAACCAUACCUGUAAAUCAUAAGUUACUUUCUAAAUCAGGCCCCUCAAAUUCACUGUCUUUCCUACCACAUCAGUACCAGGUAACCACCUACCACGUUCCAUUUUUUACACAACUUUUGGUAAAUACCUUUUAGAGGACCUUGGCUGGAUUUAUGAUGAGGUAUGCUUACUGAGCAUGAUGAAAUGUGGCUCAAUGAUUACUCUGAAGUCUAGCCAAAGUGUCAUAUUAAUGACUUAGGUAACAAAAUUUUGAAACUUAAGUUAUUAGAAUAUGAUAUCACAAAUUUUUUUUCAAGGAGACUGGAGCUGUAGAUUUUUCCAAUAUAGCAAAAUUGGUUUUAUACCCAUUACAUUUUCCUUUUGUAAAGUGCCUCUAUAUUCACAUCGCAUAAUAGCAUUCACCUUGAUUUUCAUUUGAUAAAGAAACUUGAGAAAGACCUUGGAAGCUAAUGUGUCUCUUCCAGUUACCCAGAUCUUACCCUGGGUUGUAGUUUCUUGAGCAUGUUCCUAGUCAUUCUGAUAGCGUUUCCAUUUACUAUAUUGAGAUAUUGCUAGAUUGUUAGUAAGACAUUCAUUGAUUUUUGAAUAAGAUAGGAAUUUGAUAUUUACUGGAAUGCUGAGGUGGAAUUCAGAGAGGUUAAUUUAUCUUUAUCCUCACAAGGCAUUGGUGGAAUAAAGUAUUCCUAUGAACACUUUAGGGAGGUGAAUUAACUUUGUGAUUGCUGAUACUGAGUGUGAGUAAUUAUUAUAUUGUUUAAUUUUUUGGCAGCAAGAGAACUUAUUCCCAUUUUGGGACACUUGAUUUGGCAGAGUCUGGAUAAUUAUCUAUAUACCAGUUUGUUUUUGUUCCUCUGACAUGCUUCCUUGAGCAUUUCUUUUUGUAUAUGAGCUACUGCUGUAGUAUUUUCUUACUGUGGAGUAUUCUCCUGCCUUUGUAAGAUUUACCUCUGAAUCUUUGCAUAUCUGCUUGCAUAUACAACAAGUAGAUUUAUGUUCUCCUACAAUUGUAAAUCAUCUCUAAAUCUUGAGGUUCUGGUAACUUUUAUAACUGAUAGAAUAUUAUUUUAAAUAUAUACUAACUCAUUGGCAUAAUUUAGUUAACAUAGAAAUGUAAGAUGGUUCUUGAUUAAACAAAGUAUUGUAUUUUACAUGGUUCAGAGUCAAAUCAGAAAAUACUUGUAUUUAUUUUUUGGUUUAUAUUGUAAAAAUUACUUAGAUUUUAAACAACAAUAUGGUAUGUGAAAUGAUUGCUGUGAUAAAAUAACCGCAAGAGAAAUUUCUAUUACAUACUUGAUAAAAAUCAUCAUUUCAUAAAGAUUAUGGCAAGCAAAUUAAUGUUAUAUUUAUGUUUUGAGUUGCUAAGGUUAGUGUGAAACAAGGGGCUAUAAAAAGUGCAUAAAGUAUAAACUGGAAAAAGGCAUUAUUUUCACUACAUGUGAGAAGUCAUUCAAAUAUGAUUAUGUCAUUUUCUUUAUGUAGAUUACAAAUCAUGGUGUUUGUUAAAAUAUAGAAGAAAUGUUUUUAAAUAUUUAAAAAAAAAAGUAGAAUUUCUAUAGUAUAUAAUAUAAUCUUUUAUUGGAUUAUUGUGGCUAUCCUUUCAAUUAGUACUUAUGUAUAUAUGGUAGUCAUGGUUAUGUUAUCAAAGAAGCUUAUGUUUAUUUACUAGUUCAGAAAAACAUCACCCUAUUAUCUAGGAUUGAAUAUUCUUUUACAUUGACAUGUGUAUAAUAGAAUAAUGCACCAUGUUAAUUUAAUCUUAUAAGGAAAAGUGAUAGAUGAUUUUUGCAUUUGAAGAUCAUUAAAUUACUAGAAUUAUUUUAUUGCUUGUUCAGGAACUUCUAGACUGUUUUUAUGCCAUGUUAAAAAGGAUUUAAGAGGGUACCAUUUCAGAGAGAUGAUUUUACAUGACUAUACCCCAAUGAGAAAUUAUUAGAUAUGUUUUGUGGAUGAAUCUGAUGCCAAGGAAUAUUUGACCUUUAUGAUAGGAAUGUUGUCUGUGAACUAAAGUCUAGUGACCCUAUGAUAUUAGUCCACAAAUAUCAUCAAUAUUUCAAAGACAUAGUACAUAUUAUAUUCUUAAACAUUUGUAUCACAUCCAUAUAACUAACAUCAUUUACAGCAUUUUCUUACAUGAUAUAAAUAAAAUGUAUAAUUUUUUGCUGUUUUAAAUUUUUAGUGUUGAUGUAAUUAUGAUUGUCCCAUAUUACAUGUAUGUACAUGGAGUAUUAUAUACAUAUUAACUCAUUAGUAUGUCUGUACUUAGAUAAAACAAUAGUUGCUGAAAUACAAGAUUACAAAUUUCUUUGUCACCAGAGAAUAUGAUACAGCAAUGUUUUUCUAGUUUUUCAUUGUGAAUUGUGAACUGUAAAGUAAAAGCAAACAUUUUUUUUUUUAAAUUGGAAUUGCUGUAUCAUACUUUGGAUUUAUAAAAUUAGUCAGUUACAUUCAACAAACACCAGAAAUCUGUCAGUGAAUCUUCCAUGGUUCCAUUUAUCAGUCAUUUUUUUAGUAACUGAAUCAGUGAUUGUCAGUAAAGUAAGCUACAUAAUAAGAUUUGAUCCCCAUUCUCUCUGUUUAAAUAUUUGUGAGAAUUGUAACAGUUGUUAUGUAUAUUGUGCAGACUUUUUAUCCAGUCUAAUUCUUAACUUGUUUCUACUAGUAUCUAUUCAUUUUUUUAAACGUAACCUGGCAGUGUUUGACUACUGCAGAAAUAAUAGACUGAAUUUGUGUAGACUGUCUGAAAUUCCUACAUUUGUAGAAACACCAAAUCCCAUCAACUACCAUAUACACAUGGUGUUAAUAAUAAGAUUUAAUCAGUCUUAACAUUAGAACUAUCAAUCUCUGUUUUGUAUUUAAUCUAUAUGAGGUUUGUUUGAACCACUUUAUCUGACUACUUUUGCCUAUAUGCAUAAUUUCUGAUUACAUUUUCUGAAUAUAUUUUACUUUUAAAAUUUAGAAUAAGUGCUUUUAUGUGAUAAAAUGUUUUAAAACUGUAUGUUUCAUAUGUAUGUAGUUACAUUAUUUUAAAAACUUCAUGAGUAGAGAAUAAAUUUUGUUUAUGGAAAGCUAUGUUUAAAAUAUUUGGCCUGUAAUAGUUCAGAUUUUAAACAUAUAGACUAUAGGAAAAGAAUAAAUUAUUUUUGUUGUUAAAAUAUUAUCUUUAUGUAGGUUUCAUUGUGUUGUAUGAUAAAGUCGAAUUACCUGAAUAUAGUGUUAGCAAAGGCCUCUUUUAAUAUAUAUGGUAAAAAAUAUGUGUGUAUAUUCUACCAUGGUGUCAAGAUACUCUUUUUAGCUACUAAAUUAUUUAGGAGUAUAACUCAAAUAUAAGCACAUAAAAUAUCACUGUUCUUUGAAAAAUGUAUAUGCUAUAUAAAAGGCAUGUAGCUACAUUUUAUUUUUCUGAUCACUGAGAUUUGUGAUGCAAUUUAUUUCUCCAAAUGAUCUAGAUAUUUCAGAAUUACAUUGUUUUAUAUUAAUCCGAUACAUGGCAAAAAUUAACUCUGUAAGUAAUAAGUUACUUUUUAUAUCAAGCCACUGGUAAUUCUAGAGAUACUGAGACUUAGAAAUUAUAAGCUUAUAAAUAUAUUGUAAAUACUAUUGUCUAUUUCAAUUAAUAUGACAAACUGAUAGUUUAUAGAGGGGAUCAUGGAGCUCACAGUUUUUCAUGUUUGUUUGAAUGUUAAAGGAGAAAGUUAUAAACACUAUGCAUUUACUCUAUUCUCAUAGUAGGAUAGUUGACCAUUUUUUCAUGUGAGUUGCACAUUAAAAAUGACAUGGUAGGUAUUUCAGUUGGCUUGUUGAGCAAUAAUGAGCCUACUGAUGCACCUCUUUUCUACUUUUUUUGUCAACUUUCAUGAAGAUUUUGUACUACCUCUUGGGACACUACAAAGUUUUGUAUGUGUUUCCUGUUUGCAUGACAAUAUUCAAGACAACUUUGUAAAUAAUAGUCAAAUACAAAAUUUUAACAUCUAGUCUUUCUAGAUGUAUAGAGUGUCACAGGGUAUAAUUUUGUAAAUACAUCAUUGUAAACUUUCAUUGCACCCACUAAAUUUCGGGAAUGAAAUUUUUAAAGUUGCGAUUUUUUUUUCUACUUUAUGUUCAUUAUUUGUUAGGGGAGUGAGUUUUCUUAAGAGUAUUUAAAUUUAGCUUUGGCUACAUAUCUCAAGAAAAAUCUUCAUUAACCAUAGGAUAAGUAAGGUUUAUAUUGUACAAUUAGGGGUGCAAAUUAUAAUUCUGUGGUUGUAUUAAUGAUAGGCCACCAUGUAAAUACCUUGUUAGUCAUUAUAGGAAAAAACUCUUAAAGAGUUACUUCUACCUCUGAAUUAAUAUACUAUUAUAUUUACAUUGCAUGACAGCAUUCAAGACAAGUUGUAAAUAACUGAUAAAUGUUUCCAUUUGAAAAAUCCAUUUUUAGAUAUACAUUCUUAACAAAAUAUAAGCCUGUGAAUAUUCAUUGUAAACUAACAUUAAUAAAAUUAUUCCAGCAAAUGCUUUUUCAAUGCAAUAGAUAAGGACUACUCAGUUUACUAAGUAUAAAAAUGUUUCUAAGUAGUUUCUCAUGGAGAAUAAGCUAGGUCUUAUUUUUACUUGGAGAAAAAUUACUUAAAGAAAAGAAUUAGAUACUUUUCAUCUUCAUGAAGAAAGAUGAACAGUAAAAAAAUUUUAAAUUAAUGAUAUAAUUGUAAAAGCAUUGUUUCCUGCCCAUUUAACCUAGGCAAAUUUGUUUUAUAUUACAUUCACAUAUACAUCUUAUGUUAUAGUAGUAUAUAAACUACUUAGUAUUCAUCUUUCAUGUGUUUUUGUUUGUUUUUACAUUAGUAUUCCCACUUUACAAAUUAUAAAAUUAAUAUUCUAGUUCUAAUUCAGAUUAUUUAGACAUAUUUUGUGUUAAUGAAGAGCCUAUAACUUUGUUUAUGUGUUUAUACAUCUUAUAAAUUUAUUUAUGUAUUUAUACAUCUUCAGUGUAUAAAAUUUUAAAAACUUGUUUUAUUUUUGUAUAUUUUUCAUGUAGGAUUAUUAAAUGUAAACAUCUAGUGUUCCCUCUAAUGUACUGUAAGAAAAAGUAGCCUGUGUGACAUUAAAGGCAAUAUAAAUUAUAGAGUUGGGCUUGAUGAGGAACACUUAUACCAGCACCUGCCAAGAUUAUACUCAGCUACAUACCCAGUUUGAGGCCAGCCAUGGGUCAUAAGACCCUGUGUCAGAAGAAAACAUGAAAGCAAAAAAAAAACUGAGUACCUUCCUACAAAAUCAGGAGUUAUAAAACUAUGUAAAUUAUUUUUCAUAUUUUGGAGUUGGCUACUAAGAUUUUUAUCAUUUCUGAUUCUCAAAUUUAAUUGUUGAAUAUAAAAAUAGCAAAAUGCCAGAUCUGUCAGUGAACAGAUCAUAAGGAUUGUAGCUUAAAGUGAAUGUAAUUUAAUAUUUUAAAUAUCCAUUUUCUGUAGAAAUGGUGUUUGUUGAAUUUUAAUUGAAGAAAUGUACAAUUGACAUACAUGUAGAUAUAUUUUAGUUCUUCCAAUUAAAGUGGAUAAUUAAGAAAAUUUUAAUUGCACAUAGGUAAUAUCAGUCUGAAAGUUAAUACUUCUGUAUUACGAUGUAUGUUAUUUUCCAGUAAUGAUUGAAGAUUUGUUCAAGUGAUUUAAACAGUGUAUUCAUGCUUGGAAAUUGUCACAUGAGAACAUCUAGAACAAAUGAACAAUUUAUGCAAACAGAAAACAUGUUCAGGAAGAACGUUAAAGUUUUAACACUAAAAAAUAGAAAGGAGUAAGACCACUUCUAUCUGCCUUUGUAUUUUAUAAGGGCCUUUGCAAAUAAGCAACUAAAAAACAGGAAAGAGACAAUUUAUGCCUGUAUCUUUGAUUGACAACAUCAUGGGAGUGAUGGGUUGCCAUAUCCAACUUUCUAUUCCUAGCAGCCCUUAUGAAUGGUUUUUGAACAUUUUUGUGAAGAAUUUUAGACACUCCAGCACCUUAUGUGUCAACAAUCAGUAUUCCAUUAUCCAAUGAUAAAAAGGAGAAGAUGAAAAUUCACGUAAUUAUGAUGACAGACUUAUUAAACCUACUGUGAUAGCAACUUAUGGAGUCUACGAAAAUUUACUUUACGAAAGUGAACUCUAAACUAAAGGUGAUCACCAAAAUAGAUAAUCAUUGUAUCUACAACCUUCAUAACUGUAAAAAGAUCUCAGAAGGUGUUGCGUGACUAGUCUUAUUGAUCAUUAAAAUUGACCUCAGCUUAUUGGAUGGAGACUGAAAUAUGUCUUUGAAGAAAAUAUUUUAUAUAUAUUUAAAGACUUUCAUUGAUUUUGUUGGACUAACUCAAGAAAUGGAGACACUACCACAUGGAUAAAAAUAGUAUGAUGGAACUGACAUUGGCUUCAUCACAGUGUUUUCAUAAAGUAUUCCCUGUAUGUAGUCAAUUUUUUCCUCAGAGUUGAUGCUUACAAUUAUUUGUCAAGUUGGAAAAAAUGCACUUUUAAUUUCAUUUGCACCACAUUUAAUAGAUUAAGUAGGAGAGAAUAGAUUUCUUUAAAAUUGAGUCUUCUUAUACAUCCUCAAGGAGGAUUCCGAGAUUACAAUCACGUAUCACAGCACCAGGUUUAUGUGGUUCUGGGGCUGAAACUCAGAGAUUCCUGAAGGCUGGAUAACUACUCUACCAAUUGAAGUACUACACCCAAACCAAAGGAAUAGUGUUGUACAACUCUAGCCCUGGCUACUCAAGACAAUACAGGAAGACUGAAAGUUUGAGGUCAGCUUGGCAACACUGAGACCUCUUCUCCGCAUCUCAACAACAAAAAAGCUCAAUUGACUGAAAUAUACUCCUUUCUCUUGGGCUAGUUGCACUCCCUGUCUAAAGACCUACUUGACAGAUAUCCCAUGGCUCUGAUACCUCCAACAUCCUGGGGUCAGCUUCAUGCAAUGCCCUCUCAGGACCUCCAUGCAGGUGGUGGCCAUCUUGACAAAUACACCAAAUAUACCUUCUGAAGAGGUUUUAUCAACAGGAUCUUCCUAAUACACUUACUGUAUUUACUGUUUCUGGAGUCUUAUUCUACCCUUAUCAUCUCACAACUUGUAUAGAAGCCUUCAGUGGAAUAGAAAAGACCUGGUUUUGGCAAGUAAUUGACUGGAACAUUCAGUACUUCUGCUUUCAGAAUAUCUUGUACUCACGUGUUGUGCGUUACUUCUUCUCUUAUUCAUAUUUUACAUUUUAAAUGGAAGAGACUUUUAUGUGUAGGUAGUACAAUUACUGUACACAGAUAUUUUUAUGAUACUUCAGAUGAUAACAAGGUUUUCUGACUAAUUGAGUUUCCCUGUAUACCAGUUUUGUUAUCAUUUGUGAGAUGGUUUCAUCCUCCUUUAAAUAAGAACCUCAAAUUUUAGGCAGUCCCCAGAGAAGAUCAUCUUCUACACUGGUAUUCCCUAGGGAAGACCCUCCUCUGGUUUCUGUUUUAUUGGCAUUACUGGCCUCUGUCUGGGCCAGGAAAAUGGGUCUCUGUGGUUUGUCUUUUCUCCAAUACCUCAACUGCAGACUUCAAUACCAUUGCAACUAUGAGUAUGUAGAGAAAUGUUAUUGCAUUGUUGAGGAGAACCAUGCGGAUGCUCUAAUCACUUUAUUGGUAUCAUCUAUGUCCCUUCAGGUAAGGGUAAAACCUCACUGUUUCAAAGAGAUUUGAGUUUAUUACACAGUGUGUUGAUUUUCACUUGUUCCUGCUUAAAUUAAGUGAAGUCAUAAAGUACUAUUUAUUUUAAAUAUUAGUUGUCUGUUUUUAGAACAUAAGUCAUACUGUUCAUCAGGAAAUUACUAUCUGAAUUUCUCAACCUGUUUUAAUAAUUGUUAAGAGUACAAACAACUGCUAAGAAUUUUUAAAGUGUGUGCGUGUGUAUGCUCUUAUGUAAGUAUGUUCAUGUUAGGUGUCUGUGGAGGUCAGAAAUCAAAGUCAGAUCCCCUGGAGCUGGAGUUAUGGGUGAGCCAUGAUCACUCAAGCACCAGAUAUUUUAAGGUUAUUUAAUAAUUCCUUUCUUUGAAAGUUUGUGUGGUUUACCAGUGGAAAAAGGUGAUUUCCAUCCAAGCCUGGCAACCUCAGUUUUGUGUUUGUAACUCAAGUUGGAGAGAAUAUAGCAGAAAGCAAAAGACUUAAUGGAUUUUUUUCAAUCUCAUAAAUUUGUAAUGCAACACAUGUCUCAUUAUAUUAUUAUGGCAUUGCAGUUGAUUUCUGAGGUAUGUUCUGUGUUAUUUUUAUAAUAUCCAUUUAAUUCAUAUACAGUGGAGUUCCUUUUUUAACAGCAAAGUUAAUGUAUUUCAGUUAAUUUCCUAUGUUAAUAUUUUCCAAGUUCAUAUUGAUCUUGAGUCUAAUCAGACACAGUGACAGUGCUUGAAACAGAAGAUAAUACAACUUGUCAGUUUGUGUUAGGGGUCACAAAACAUUUUCUGUAAGGCUCCAGAUUUACAGAUCAUGUUGUUGCAACCAGGAAUCUGUUCUUGCAGUACAACAGUACCAAGGGCUAAUUAUGAAACUGUGACCCAGUAAAUAGUUACAGUGCAUAAAUCCUGUGGCAGAUUUGGACUCUAGCAGAUGAUUUCGAUCCCUUAGUGUACUGUAUGGUUCUAGUUUCAUCCAUAAGAUCUUUGAUAAAUUUUGAAAAAGAAGAGACACAAAGAAUGUCUUUGCUUGUACUAGUUUCUGAAUCUUUUAUAUCAGUGGUUCUCAACCUGUGGAUUGUGAUCCCUUUGAGGUCCAACAACCCUUUCAUGGAGGUCACCUAAGACUAUUGUAAAACAGAUAUUUAUACUACAAUUCAUAACAGUAGCCAAAUUGCAGUUAUGAAGUAGAAAAAAAAUAAUUUUAUGGUUAGAGGGUCACCACAGCAUGAAGAACUGUAUUAAAGGGCCACAGCCUUAAGGAAGGUUGAGAAGCACUGCUCUAAACAUUCAAAUAGUUAUAUUUAUCAUUGAAAGAAAUAUUUAAGCCUUUUGAUACUUGGCCCUUAAAUUUAUUUUAAAUCAAUUUUAAAGUUAGAUGUUUUAGCACAUUGAAAUAUGGCCAUCAACAAUGAUUAAAGUAUUCUGUGCUCAUUCAUUCUUAAUCUUCUAUCCACAUUCCACAGCAGUGAUGAGUUAAGCUUUCAUGAUAUAUAUAUAUAUAUAUAUAUAUAUAUAUAUAUAUAUAUAUAUAUAUAUAUAGCAGUCAGUAACUUUCUUAUGUUUAUAUAAAUGUAGGUGGAGGUUGUAGAUGUAUGAUCUUUGUAUUGUUGCUUUUAAACUUUCUAUUUAAUAUAUCAUGGGUGUAUUUCCAAACUAGUAGUUUAGGUUUAUAAAAAUGUGAUUUGCUCCUACAUGUGAUACUGUUGAUGAUGCCACAUAUAAUUAUAUAACUUUGAAAAUAUAUUUGGGUUCCUAAUUAUGUAAUAGUUUUCUACGUAUGGUAAUAUUAUGUCAUCUUCUGUGGUUUCUGUUACUAUUGUGAAAUUGCUCUUAAAUGCUUUCUGGGCUAAGCCAGAGCAGUGGUGUAAUGACAGUGCUAAUUUUCAUAGACUUGUGUUUAUUAUGUUUCAAAACAUUUAAAUAAUAGUCAAUCUAAUGGGUGAAAUAGUAUUUUUAAAACUUAAGCCUAAUUUAAAUGUUAAGUGGCCAAGAUUUUAUAAAAUUAAACAGUUUUUAGAUGUAGAAACCACUAAAUGCUUCUAAUUUUUGCACUUUCUCGUAAAUUCCUUUAGUAUAUAUGGCAAUGAGUUUUUUCUUUCUCUUAUUUUGAUCAAAUUUUAGGGCCAGAUGCUCUUCAUCUAGGUUUACUAUUUGCAUUCCUUUCACUCAUCAUGUCCUUUCCUCUUUCCCUCCCUUUCCUCUCAUCUUAUUUCUGUUUAUACAUGUCACUUUGUUUUCUGAACCUAUGUAUUAUUUGCAGAUAUGAUGUUCAAAUUGCCCAGUAUUUUUCUGCAUGUACAUUAUAAAAGUGUGUGUAUGUUCCUUUAAACCUGGCUUAAUUUUUUUUUUUUUUUGGGUUUCGUGAGAUAGGGUUUCUCUGUGUAAUAGCCCUAGCUGUCUUGGCACUAACUCUGUAGAUCAGGCUGGCUUGGAACUCACAGAGAUUCUCCUGCCUCUGCCUCCCAAGUGUUGGGAUUAAAGGCUAGUGUCACCACCACACAGCUAGACCUGGUUUAAAAUGUAAGAACUUUAUGACUCUGAUGUGUACUUUUUCCUUUAUCAUAUCAUAUCAUAUCAUAUCAUAUCAUAUCAUAUCAUAUCAUAUCAUAUCAUACCAAAUAUAUUAUAUUAUAUUAUUAUCCCUUAGAAGCCUGUUUAUUUUCUAAUGAGAGACAAAUGGCGAUUCUAUAUGGGAAGGGAAGUAGAGAGGAACUGGGAAGAGUAGACAGGUGAAAUCAUACUUUGUGUGUGAGAAAGAAAAUCUUUCAUUAAAAGGAAAAAGAUAAAGAAUAUCAGAUAUAUCAUCACUAGUUUAAAAGUGCACUAUAUGCAUUGUAUAAAUUUACAUGUCAAUAGUUUUUUUUUCUUUCUUUUUCCAUUCUGUGGAAAUAACAGUAUUUGCAGAAGCCAUGUCUCUUUGUUAUAUCCAUUAGGCUAUCUUGGUCCUCGAUGGCAUUGGUGUUCUUGAGAAAUAGCACACUUCAGGUUUUGAGAUUCUUCAGCUUCUUAUUUUUUUCCUUAUGAAAUAUUUGAGGACAUAUAUUUAUUUAGUAAUACUUCAGAAUAAAUGUAUGUUGUCUUCAACAAAUCAUGCAAGUAAAAUGUUUAUCCUCACAAUAUGGAUAUUCAUUUAGUUUAAUUGGAACUGACAUCUUUCUCCAGUGUUACAGUUACUUCUUCCUAAAUAAACACUACAUAGAAAGACAAUUUUCAAUUAUGUAAAUCUUUUUAUAAGCAAAUUUUAGCACUAUCAAUUUAAAUAUUCCUUGUGUUUCUAUAUUUGAAAACUGUAAGAAAAUUUGAUGACAGAUCUUCUCUGAACAUCUGGUAGAAUUCUUCCAUGAAUCAAUUUGAGCCUGAGCUUUUCUUAUUUUUGUUGUUUUAUUUUUGUGUAAUAUAUUUUGAUGAUGUUGUUUGGUUCUCCCAAAUUCUUCCAGAUCUUCCCUACCUAUCCAACUUCCUGUUCUUUCUCUCUCUCUCAAACACAAAAGCCAAACCAAACAUCAAAGCAAACAAAAAAAAAUCAGUAAGAGAAAAAAAUGCCUAAACAAACUGAAACAUAAAGCAACAAAAAUAAAUGUAGUCUCGGUGAUGUGAUUUAUUUAUUUCAUAUUUAAUUUUUACAGUUGUUUUGAGACAAGCUCUCACUAUGUAACCUUGGCUGUCUUAGUGUUGCCUAUGUAGAUUAGGCUGCCCAUGAACGCAUAGAGCUCCACAGAGUUUUCUCUGCUUCUACAGGUCUGGGUUGAGAGGCAUACAUCACCAUAUCUAGAUGGGCUAUUUAUUUUUUACUUAGAAGGGAUUUUGCUACUGUUUCUUUUAUCUUAUUUUUGGUUGUUUUUUUUGUUUGUUGUGCUUUUUUUGUUUCAGUUUUUGUUUUUGUUUUUGAGAUAAUGUUUCUCUGUGUAGCCUUAGCUGUCCUGGACCAGGCUAGCCUGGAACACACAGGGAUCCAUCUGCCUCUGCUUCUGGAGUGCUGGGAUUAAAGGCAUGUGUGUCCAUUACCCGGCUGUUACUGUUUAUAUCUCCUUGUUUAUUUUGAGUAUCUUAACCUAUUGAUCUCUUCUUGGUUUUACUUUGGUGGUUUGGAGAAAUCUAGAAAUUCACCCAGUUGUUUUAGAUUUUCUAACAUAAUAAAGCACGUGUUUUUAAAGUGCUCCCUUAUAGUAUUCUAAAUUUCUUUGGUCUUUGUUAUGUUUUCCUGUUCAUCUCUGAUUCUAGUUUUUUGGGUCAUCUCUUUCCUUCUUUUGCUUAAUUGGACCAAGAGUCCAUCAAAUUUGUUCAUCUCUUCAGAGAACCAGCUCAUAUGUUCAUUGUUUCCUUAUACUUUUAUUCCAUUAUUAAUAUCUGCUCUUAUUUUUAUUAUUUCUUGCAAACUGCUGGAUUGUAUUUUGGUUUGUUCUUGUUUUUCCAAAAUCUUGAUCUAUAUCAUUAAGUUAUUUAUUUGUGCUAUUUCUGGUUUUUGAUUUUGUUAUGUUUGGUUUGGUUAACAGUUGGUCUUGCUAUGUAGCCCUGGCUGUCUGAAACUUACUAUGUGAAGCUGGUUACCCUUGAACUUACAGAAGUCUACCUGCUUCUGCUUCAAUUUCUAAUUUUUAAUGUAGGAUCCAGAGCUAUACAUUUAUCUCUUAGUAAUGCUUUUAAUAUGUCCCAGAGCUUUUGUUGUAUUGUUUUAUUAUUAAAUUACUUCCUGCUUUUAAUUUUUUUCCUUUGAUUUCUUCCUUGAACCAUUCAUCAUUCAGUAAUGUUUUUUUUAUUUCCACGAGUUUCUGUAGUUUUGGCUGAUUUAAAGUUUUAUUGAAUCAUAGUCAUGUAAGAUACAUAGAAUUAUUUCAGGUUUUUCUGAAUUUUAAAAAUACUUAUUUUGUAUAACUUAGACAACAAAUGAAAAACAAAUAUCUAUUAUUUCUGUUGAUAUUAUCAUUUAAAAUGAGAUGGUCAUAUAAUCUAAUGCUUGAAAAAAAGAUGAGUUUGAAUGUUUGUAUUUGGAUGGCUCCCAGAUGUGGGCAUAUCAUUACCAUCCUUUGGCAUGAAAGGAUUAAUUAAAGUGAUUAAAUAAAAAACAAACAAAAAUAGGGAGGAACAUUGAUAAUUUACCAGUAGUAUUGAAUAUAGACUUAGAAUAUGUCUGAAAACAGCCAAUAGCACCAAUGUUUAUGGCAUAUCCAAGAAAGUUAUUGAAUAUUCUCCCAAAAUGAAGACACUGUUAUAGUCCCUAGCUGGAAACCUUCCAGUAUUCUGCUUUUCAGUUGCCUGUGUGUUUGAUAAUUUAAAGUUUGGUAUGUUGUACUUACUUGAUCACAUAGGAUUAUGCAAUAAUCAUUUUGUCUUUGCUUUCAUUUCUCCACAAGAAAGGUAAAUUCCAAAUUGAUAGAAACAUGGAUUCUAAAGAUGUAUUCCUUCUCAAAAUUUCACAUUUAGUGUUUCCUCAGAACAAAUGUUCUCAUUUAAGUACUUGUAGUGCUUUUGGGACAAAUUGCCUUUUUAUGUGUGUGUGCCAUAGAGAUAACUCAUCAAGUAUAGGUGCUUGCCACUAAGGCUAAUGAUCUGAGUUUUAUUUCUUGCAUCCAUAUGUUGGAAGGAAAGAAUUGAUUUGUACAAAGUGUCCUCUGAACUUUGGUAUGAGAUAUACAGACAUACUUUUUGAGAUGAAGAGAAGGUCAAUUUAUAUAAUCCAACCCGGACAGCUUUAAUCAUAUGAUCAUCUUGAUGGCCUCCACUGUCAGUCUCCUUAGUACAGUGAUUCCAGGGUGCACCAGCAUGUUUGGCCCAUGUUGUCUACAUAUAUUUUGUUUAUUCAAACAUAUUAGGUAAGAUAAAGAUCAUAUUGGUUGAACUCUACAGAUAAAUAGUAGUAACAUACAAAAACUAGAAUUAAGUAAGGAAGAUUCAUGGAUAUUUCAGAGUUGCAUGUAAUCUAUGUGUUUGAUAUAUGUAUAUGUAAUUAUGGAGAAAACCGGGAUUUGGAAUAUAUCUGUGAAGUAUUGCUAGUACAAUUUGAUAAAUUGAUAAUUAUUACUAGGUGUUAUAAGGUUUUUCAAGACAGAAUAAACAGCCAGACAUGUUAGCAUGUACCUGUAACCCCAGUGUCUGGAGAGAGAGCGACAGAAUUAGCUUGAGUUUCAGGUAAACCUGGGUUAUAUAGAAAUAUCAUGUAUUAACAAAUAAGGAAAAACUAAAAAUUAAAAUCUGAGAAAAAUUUGACACCAUUUAUUAUCAUUACUAUAUUGAACAGUUACUUUUCUCAGCAUUUGAUAGGGACAGGGUAGGAAGAGAAGGAGAUUUUGAGAGUUUGUCAUUAUAUUCAUCCCUUAACACAAACACUUGAUUUUUAGAAUGGAAAUAAAUUAGAGCUCCAGAGAAUUUAAAGAGAGAAAUAAUAGUUUGUAUUAAUCACUGUGUGAUUUUCUUGUGAUUGUGUGCAAAUAUGAGACCUAGAAACAGUGAAAUGAGAGGAGGAAUAGCCACUUGAAACAUUUCCUUAAGUGGUCUAGCAUGGAAGUGUUGAGAAAGCAGUCAUUCCUUGAUGUUUCUUCAUCUUCUGAGUUCCCACUUGUGUUGCUUUUAUUUGCCUGCAUUGUAGAAUGUGAACCCUUGAUCCUCAAGCCUCUAGAUUUACUCAUUGAAAGCAAGAGAAUAUGGCAGACUUGGGUGUAAAUUAAGUAUAAAACUCAAUAGCUACUGAGAUAGUAAUUAAUUUUUUAUGUCAAUGAAAGACAUAGUUUACAAGUAUAGAGAAUAUAACUGUUUUAGGUAAAAGUUCUAUGUGGAGAAGGGAGAAAGUAGUCAAGAUCAAAUCUAAGGAUACAUUUGAAUUGAUAGAUUGUCCUUUGAUGAUGUCACUAGCCCAGAUAUGUAUUUGUAUCUGGUGAGGUUCUUUUUCAAAGUUAUUUAUUUAUUUUUUUCAUAUUGAUCAUGUUUUUUCAUCCACUUACUCUUCCCAGACUUUCCCCUCCUCCCUACCCAACAAACUUUAUUCCCUCUGUCUCUAGAGUGUGUAUGAAAAUAGCAGAGAUGUAUCUCAUGUGUACAAUAACACAUUUUCUUCAGCAUUCCAUAUUCUUUAUAUGAAUACACCACUGAGUAUCUUUUACAUCGCAGAAUUCCAAUAGUAAUCUUUUGUUUAACUGUAUCAUUUUAGUUCCCACUUAGAUUGUUUCUUUUAGUUCUUGUAUCCAUUGACUAAUACCAUUGAAUAAUAUUUUUUGAGGCAUGGUUGUUGAAUUGCUUGGAGAUGCGGAUUUUGUGAAAGGUUUAUAAAAGUUUGUGGUGUAAUUCAACCAUUUGUUGAAUGUGUAAGAGCCCUAACAAAAAAUAAAAACUCUAAACAUAAAUGAGUAAAAGAUUCAAGAACAUAAUGCCAGGAAUCAAGGGAGUAAAGCAGGAUAGAUGGUAUAUAAGGUAGAAUUUGGUAGAAAGUGUAGUAGGGUAAGGUAAAUUUAGUUCACAAUUUUGCAUAUUAUUUCUGAAAGACAGUAAAUGAUUAUACCAUAACUAGAGUUAGAGGAAAGCAAGAGUGUGGGAGAUAGACUUGCCAACUGAAUCAGGAAAGUUGUGAACCGUAUCUCCAGAAAUCAGUUGUAAAUUAUCAUUCCCUCCUUUGUGACUUCGAAAUGAGUGGCUAUUAUUCAAUAUACCAAGAUUCAUACCAUGCAAUUUAUGAUUUUUGCCCCUGACCUUUUCUUUUCAUUUUUUAAUCUUUUAUCUGUUUAGUUUAUUUUCAGAAGACUAAAAAUUAUGAGCUCCUAUUAACAGAUUUAGUAGUCAUUUCAAUCUUGAAACAUAAAUCCACAUAUUCUGUGUACUAUUCCUUUUUUUUUUUUGGUUUUUCGAGACAGGGUUUCUCUGUGUAGCUUUGCGCCUUUUCCUGGAACUCACUUGGUAGCCCAGGCUGGCCUCAAACUCACAGAGAUCCUCCUGGCUCUGCCUCCUGAGUGCUGGGAUUAAAGGCGUGCGCCACCACCGCCCGGCGUACUAUUCCUUUUUAUUUGCUAUUUGGUUCCUAACAAAGAUGUCAUUAUAGCCCUAUUGAUACGUCUGUAUUUUAAUUUUUUAUGCAUGAGAAGACUUUUUGUAGAGAGCCUAUGAACAGGGCAUUGGUAAGACAAUGUGGUAUCAAAGAACAAUGCUUUAAAAUAUUUAGAGUGAACGCUGUAUUUCAACCUCUAUGUCUAACUUCAGAUAUACCAUUCAUUCAUCACUUACUGCUAUGUGUUUAUUACUGUCUUUGACCUAAGUUUUAAAAAAAAAAUUAUUUGUAUUUUUAAUUAUGUGUAUGUGUGUCUAUGUGUGGGCAUGUAUGUGUGAGUGAAGGUGCCUAUAGAAACCAGAAGAGUAUAUCAGGUUCUCUAAUGUUGGAGUACAGGUAGCUAUGAGUUGGCCAGAAAGGGUGUGAGGAACUGAUGUCAGGUCCUCUACAAGAGGAAUAUAUUAUCUUAGCCACUGACACAUCUCUCCAGCCCUGAACUGAGUUUUUAAACUUAUUCAUCUAGGUAUCUCAUACACCAUAGGCAUUUCCUAAAAGAACUUUAUUUUCAUUUUUGUGAGUCAGCUCACUUAUUUAGUAUUGGAAUUCAAGCAGUAAUAAAGAAAUAUCUACUUAUUUAUGACAGAUUAGAAGAAUAUAUUUAACUGGACAUCAUGGCAUUAUGGCACACACACCUUUAAUCCCAGCACUCUAGAGGCAGACAGAUCUCUGUGAAUUUGAGGCUAGACUGGUCUACAUAAUGAGUUCCAGAACAGCUGGGGCUACUUAAUAGAGAGAGUCUGUCUUAAAAAAUCAGAAAAAAAACGUUACAUAGUUUAGAUACCAUAUGACAAAGGAAAAUAGGAAGGAGUUAUUUUUCCAAAAGAUAAGAAAUGGUCCUCUUUUGAAGAUUUUGAAGAUGCUAGAAACAGCAAGAUGCCUCACAGGCAGUAUAUGACCAAAUUAGUAUAGUGAUACGUGCUUUUUUAUACUGUCUGUUGGCUUCUCGUGAUCUAUUCUAUUUUAUUCUAUUCUAUUCUAUUUCUAGUGAUCUAUUAACUUUUUUUCUGAUGAUGUUACCUUUGGGAAAUCUAAUUCUUUUAGUUCAAUUUUGAGCAGUACCAGAUUUAUUGAAAUGAUCUCCUGUUGAUUCAUGAUUAUCUUCAUUGAUAAUAUUUCAUGGGAUCCUACACAUAUCCUUCCUAUAUCUAGUAUAGAAGUUCUGCUUUGGAGACAUUUUACUGGAUUGAUAUAUUUGAGUGAGAUCUGAUGAAUGGCAGUGAGACAUGAAAUACAGGUAAGAUCAAGAUGCCUUAACAUAAAUGUUACUUUUUAGUCUAUUAAAGUUAGAGUCAAUAGUAUGUGUAGCCAAUGGAUCCUAUUUAUUCUAUUUAUGUUUUAUUUUCUUAAUUUCUUCAUUUUCAUAUUGUCUGGCUCUAAAGGUUAAAGUUAGAAAGGAAGAAUCUAGAAUCUAGAAUUUGUUAACUUAAAAUUAACUUGUAACUAAUUCUUCUUUUUCCUUCAAUUAUUCAUUCAAAAUAUAUUUAGUGUUUUAUUUUAUGAAAGGCUCACUAAAUCAAUUGGGAAAAAAACAUCAUGAGUAAGUAGAAAAGCAUAUAAAUUAAUGAUUCAUAAAUGAAGUGUUAUGAAUGGCCACAAACAUAUAAAAUACAUUAAAUUAUGUCAGUCUUUAUUACUAACUGAUUAACUUUGAAAAUCAUUAAAUCAGAACAUAAAGGAUAUAUUAAGAAAUGAAUUUCCCCUUUUCACCUAUCAGAUUUGCCAAAAUACUUAGAAAUGAAAUUUGAAACAAUUGAAAAUUCUGAUACUGUUGAAAAUUUUAAUUAAGAUAGACAUAUAUGAUGAAAAUUAGCACAUUUUGAUCACCAAUUUAAUUUUUAGAUAAUUACUUAUAGUUUGUAAUUAGAAACAAGAAAAUUUAUGUAAUAGUAAGUAUUCAUCAUAAUCAAUAAUUAUGCUUGUAAUUAUUAAUUAACUUGUGAUUAAUCAUAGUUCUAUUUAUCUAAUUUGAAUAUGUUCACGUAUUAUGAUACUGUAUGUUCAAAUUAACUGUUAAAAAUCCCAAUUUGAAAAAUUCAUUUGUUGCUGAGUGCCAGUUAUGUCCGAAGCAUUGAUUUAUUUAUUCAUGUCAAAUGUUAUAUGCAUAUGCUUCUUGUGGCCAAUAAAACAAUUUUUAGCAGGGAUAUUUAAAAAUA
Molecule: long non-coding RNA, 23936 nt
Organism: Peromyscus californicus insignis
Lineage: Eukaryota; Metazoa; Chordata; Mammalia; Rodentia; Cricetidae
Exons: 9
Source: RefSeq, a predicted model, not a curated record